AUGGCCUGGGGGGGCACCCACAUGACACCUGCUGCCCUGCACGUGGUGCUGGCCCCAGACUUUGCCCCACUCUCUCCAAAGAACAGGAAGCAUUUGCGGCUCCGCACAGCCCCGGGGGGCCGGGGUGCGCUGGCACAGCAAGAGCCCCCCAGUUACGCUGGCAGGGCUGCAAACCUUGACCCUGAACCAAGCUUUUACUCAAGGAGCUCUGUAAGAUUUGCUAAUCUCGAAAUAUUGUUGGCAUCCAGAGCAGUGAUUUACUGCGUGUUUUGCCACAGCAAGAACUUUCCGAAAGGCCAUGCUAAGUUUACACCGGAGCGGCCGGGAUCAGAUAACCGGCUGCUGGCUGCUCCCUCCGUUCCCCCCAGUCCCCACUGGCUGCUGUGCUGGGGUGCAAAGGACAUCAGCUUCCCCGCGCCCUGCAAGGAGGAGGUGACCCCAGCCACAAGCAGCAGCAGAAAGGGGACACCGAGGGUGUUUUUGCCCAUCCAGGUGGCAGGGUGGGAUGUGAGGAAGAUGUGGAUUUGCGCACGGCUGUGGCACUUCAGGUUUGAAGUCAGACUGCCAGGGAUAGGGAAGAGCCAGCCCCGCCGUCCUGGCCCCGUUUCCUCCCCAAGGGCUUUGCAGGUUGUGAAAUUAAAUCAGCUUCUCAACAUCACCGGCACUUGGGGCUGGAUGUUCCUGAGCGUUCCUGCAGCAUUUUGCCACCUGUGGGAUCGCAAGGGCUUUGCGGGAGCUGGGGAGGAAUGUCAUGGGAUCCUGGCGUGUUCCCCACACCGUCCGACCGCUGUUUUGGGGGAGGUCCUCCUCCUUCCUGAGGACCACAGCCCCCCUCCACUGUCACCAGAUCCCCUGGGACCUGUGCCACCUCCUAACCCCCAGGAGAUGGGAACCAGCUCCCUGCACGUGUUCGUGGCAAAAGCCAUCAGCAGGCUCAGCCCUCACUUGGUCACAAUGGGCUGGACGCGGUGGCCUUCCCCUGCAAAAAUACGCGAGCAGCCCUGCUGUGUUGGUGCGCGCAUGGGUGAGGAGGAGGAGGAUGAAGUAUCUCUACCAUGGCGGUCUCCUUGCAGGUUGUCGGGUCAAGAGAUAAAGUCCUGUUCGCUCUCAGAACCCCAAGUCCUGGCGUAG
RNAcentral lists this long non-coding RNA (1131 nucleotides) under Anser brachyrhynchus (Pink-footed goose). RNAcentral describes it as "lncRNA (ENSABRG00000000217.1)". Lineage: Eukaryota; Metazoa; Chordata; Aves; Anseriformes; Anatidae. The record is from RNAcentral.